This is a long non-coding RNA of Lathyrus oleraceus (garden pea), 810 nucleotides long. RefSeq lists it as uncharacterized. NCBI's taxonomy places the organism in Eukaryota, Viridiplantae, Streptophyta, Magnoliopsida, Fabales, Fabaceae. The record is from RefSeq and is a predicted model, not a curated record. The transcript has 2 exons.
UCUCUUUUUCCCCUCUCCUAUUUCAGGCUUCACUCUCUCUCUUUCUCUCACUAUAAACAAAAUUUUACACACAUUUUAAAAGUUUUUGGAUCAAAACGAGGAAAAUGGAUGAACAGAUGAACACGAUGAACGUGUUCAUCCUUAAUUCCCAAUUUUCUUCAAACUCCGUCCAAUCUACAAAUCACCAACACAUACCUCCACUCAUUUUUUCUCCUCAGCAAAGAUUCAACAACCAAUUAGGCAAAACAAACAUAAUUGAAGCAAAUCAACCCUGUUUCCAAACAAAACCCUAAACAACCCCUUUUAAUAUUAUUCACAAAUUUCAUCAAUUCGCAGCAAAUUAAAGCAACAAAGUAGCAAAUGCGUAAGGAAUAAGGUAUAUAAGCAUGAAACAAAAAUGGAAAAAGACACCUCACUGGAAUCUCUAGUUUCCAAACCUCUGGAGAGCACUCCGGCGAGGUCAAAAUCAACCUUCAAGUAAAUUAUCUUUGAUGUUCACUUUCCAUUUUACUUGUUUGCUUCAUUCCUCGUCUCAUUCUUCUUCUCUGUUCUUUGUGUGGUGUGGGUGAGUUUGAAGCUCAAGCUCUGGAGCUUCAAGAUGAAGCUCACAAAACCAUUUGGUGAGGUGAGUGCAAUGGACGGCGAUGGAAUGAUGUUGUAUGAUGCAUUGAUGUAAUAGAACAUGUUUUUCCUUGUUGCUCAAUUUGAAAAUUUGUUUCAUGGUUAUGGUAUGUAUGUGGUGGAAUGUGUGCAAAGCUCAUGUAAUAGAACAAAGUUUGCUUUUAUUGGAACUUCACUUUUUAUUUUAAA